Chelonoidis abingdonii (Abingdon island giant tortoise) is the source of this 127-nucleotide small nucleolar RNA. Lineage: Eukaryota; Metazoa; Chordata; Testudines; Testudinidae. The record is from Ensembl.
AGCACAUCUCCAGUUUUUGUGUUUUUGCUGUGGACAAAAUCUUGGAGUAAGUGCUAAGAAUAAAUCCUUCUCUUGCAACCCACAACUCAUCAAUAUAUGAGCGGUGUUACUUUUCAGAAGGGACAAU